AUUGAACGCUGGCGGCAGGCCUAACACAUGCAAGUCGAGCGGAUGAAGGGAGCUUGCUCCUGGAUUCAGCGGCGGACGGGUGAGUAAUGCCUAGGAAUCUGCCUGGUAGUGGGGGAUAACGUCCGGAAACGGGCGCUAAUACCGCAUACGUCCUGAGGGAGAUAGUGGGGGAUCUUCGGACCUCACGCUAUCAGAUGAGCCUAGGUCGGAUUAGCUAGUUGGUGGGGUAAAGGCCUACCAAGGCGACGAUCCGUAACUGGUCUGAGAGGAUGAUCAGUCACACUGGAACUGAGACACGGUCCAGACUCCUACGGGAGGCAGCAGUGGGGAAUAUGGGACAAUGGGCGAAAGCCUGAUCCAGCCAUGCCGCGUGUGUGAAGAAGGUCUUCGGAUUGUAAAGCACGUUAAGUUGGGAGGAAGGGCAGUAAGUUAAUACCUUGCUGUUUUGACGUUACCAACAGAAUAAGCACCGGCUAACUUCGUG
Molecule: ribosomal RNA, 484 nt
Filed under: uncultured bacterium
Lineage: Bacteria
Description: partial 16S ribosomal RNA
Rfam family: Bacterial small subunit ribosomal RNA
Source: RNAcentral